UGGGGAAUAUUGCACAAUGGGCGAAAGCCUGAUGCAGCGACGCCGCGUGAGUGAUGAAGGUCUUCGGAUUGUAAAGCUCUGUCUUUUGGGACGAUAAUGACGGUACCAAAGGAGGAAGCCACGGCUAACUACGUGCCAGCAGCCGCGGUAAUACGUAGGUGGCGAGCGUUGUCCGGAUUUACUGGGCGUAAAGGGUGCGUAGGCGGAUGUUCAAGUGAGAUGUGAAAUACCCGGGCUUAACUUGGGUGCUGCAUUUCAAACUGGAUAUCUAGAGUGCAGGAGAGGAGAAUGGAAUUCCUAGUGUAGCGGUGAAAUGCGUAGAGAUUAGGAAGAACACCAGUGGCGAAGGCGAUUCUCUGGACUGUAACUGACGCUGAGGCACGAAAGCGUGGGUAGCAAACAGGAUUAGAUACCCUGGUAGUCCACGCCGUAAACGGUGAGUACUAGGUGUAGAAGGUAUCGACCCCUUCUGUGCCGCAGUAAACACAUUAAGUACUCCGCCUGGGAAGUACGAUCGCAAGAUUAAAAC
RNAcentral lists this ribosomal RNA (529 nucleotides) under uncultured bacterium. Its description in RNAcentral is "partial 16S ribosomal RNA". It matches the Rfam family "Bacterial small subunit ribosomal RNA", at positions 355 to 900 of the family's 1533-position model. The record is from RNAcentral.